CUCAAAGUUUGAGUCUACAAGCUCAGCUAGGGGAAAAGAACAAAUUGGAACGGAACAGUUUCCAAACAGUGAAGGAGGUUUUUCCAAACUCAAACCUAACUGAACAUGAGGAUGAAUUGGCAUUAGGCGAACACAGUCAGUUAUUCAGUCUACCACCUGACAGUGUGUUAAAUUUAAAUUCUGUUAGUGCUGCACAAAAAGAAUCGUUAGUAAUAAGCCCAUGCAGUGAAGGAAGUGAACAAUUGUGGGACCGUAUUUGGGCCAAAAAUGGGUGUGGUACGGAAACCAAGAUAUGGCACAAGUUCAACAUGAAACAUGGAUUAGAAUUUAAUGGGGGAUCAAAUCAAGUCUGGAAGUGUUACAGGAUGGAAGAGUCAGCCUACAGAUGAAAAAACACAGAGUGCAUUACCAUUAAGUACAACAGCAAUCCUUUAUAGUUCUGUCACAGCUAGAAACCUCAAAUAAUUCUGCUUCUCUGUCUAAAGAACAACUUGUCCUUUACGUUCAGAGUGUUGGGGAAACUGGGUACUUAAAUGGCCCUAAAGAUGUUUUAAUUUUGCUGCCAUUGCAGAGAUGAACAUCAUACAUGGACUCUUUAGGUCUAAUCUACCAAAAAAAUUUUAUCCAAAAGGAAAGGAUUUUCAUGUACUGGGAACACAACUAUCAACAAUGCAACAUUGUACAGCUUCCACCAGAAGUUGAAUCUAUGAGUCAUGUAAGUUACAUGAUCAACAGUUGAUAUGUUUAACGGUGUUGUUUUUCUUUUCUCAAUAUAGGUUAAUAGUAACAUUGGAUCUGAAAAAAUUCUUGGUUGGGGCAAGACACUGAAUAAAUUGUAUUGAUUGGAUGGAUGACAUGACAUUUCUAUACUUAAUUCGGAUUCCCCAGACGGUAUUUGAUAUUAAAAAAAUUGAAGUGCAUAUCUGGGCUCCCUUCUUUUCUGAAGCCCCGUUUCCCCUUGACUCGUAAUAAGCCCGUAGGGGGUCAUGCCCCUACUGUACGGUAUAUAUAAAAAUAACAUAUACCGAGGUUUGGAGGGCUCUGGCCGGAAAGGGGACGUGGGGUGCCGCUUAGUCCGAUGAUGUGUUCACGGAGGGCUCUGUGGCUACCCACAAAUCCGAACUAAAGGUUAAUCGCUCCUGUAAAAAUGUUCCAAAUCUUCAGCUCUUCUUCCGGCUUCUCUUAGCCAAUCACCGGGUAAUCUCCCCGGUGGGUCAACAAGGCAGUGUCUCCCCCUGCCUGGGUUGACGGCAACUCUUGAAAGGGCUAUUAUGCCUUUUUAAAGUUGC
Long non-coding RNA from Daphnia carinata, 1289 nucleotides. RefSeq lists it as uncharacterized. NCBI's taxonomy places the organism in Eukaryota, Metazoa, Arthropoda, Branchiopoda, Diplostraca, Daphniidae. The transcript has 6 exons. The record is from RefSeq and is a predicted model, not a curated record.